UACGUAGGGCGCAAGCGUUGUCCGGAAUUAUUGGGCGUAAAGAGCUCGUAGGCGGCUUGUCACGUCGGGUGUGAAAGCCCGGGGCUUAACCCCGGGUCUGCAUUCGAUACGGGCUAGCUAGAGUGUGGUAGGGGAGAUCGGAAUUCCUGGUGUAGCGGUGAAAUGCGCAGAUAUCAGGAAGAACACCGGUGGCGAAGGCGGAUCUCUGGGCCAUUACUGACGCUGAGGAGCGAAAGCGUGGGGAGCGAACAGG
RNAcentral lists this ribosomal RNA (253 nucleotides) under uncultured bacterium. Its description in RNAcentral is "partial 16S ribosomal RNA". It matches the Rfam family "Bacterial small subunit ribosomal RNA", at positions 524 to 776 of the family's 1533-position model. The record is from RNAcentral.